RNAcentral lists this non-coding RNA (21 nucleotides) under Arabidopsis thaliana (thale cress). The record is from RNAcentral. Lineage: Eukaryota; Viridiplantae; Streptophyta; Magnoliopsida; Brassicales; Brassicaceae.
UAUUGGGUUGGUUAUCAGGUC